Long non-coding RNA from Panicum virgatum (switchgrass), 332 nucleotides. RefSeq lists it as uncharacterized. The record is from RefSeq and is a predicted model, not a curated record. The transcript has 2 exons. NCBI's taxonomy places the organism in Eukaryota, Viridiplantae, Streptophyta, Magnoliopsida, Poales, Poaceae.
GGGCACAAGUUUUUCACGGCCAUGGAAGCUACUGGGAUGUGUUUUCGAUGACUAUUGCACUGUCACAACAAAAGUACGACACAGUAGCUCAGUUUUUUUUUGUGAGCUCUCCUGCGUGUUCGAGAAAAAAAAAAAUGAGGUUGGACAUUUUCAUCAAGUGGGUCCUACGCGGAGGAGGUCCACAGAAGAGUAGCCAGAUAUUUGGUGAGCACAUCUUGUUGACUAAACGUAUUUAUAUCUUCAUGUGCAUCCAAACCGCUUAUGAAAGUGAUAUGAACGAAAUUGUAUAUAAAAGUAUUUGUGAAAGAAUGUUUUUUAUUUUGUUCACUAUA